UUAUAAGCACAACCAAGCAUAUACCAAAGAGUAAAUCAAAUUUUCAUCCAUGUUUAUAACUCUCUUUAACAGUCAUGUAAUUAAAAACCAAAUCCUCAUCAUUGUGUUGGAAGGUACCCUAAGACACAAACAAACACACAAAAACAACUCUUUUUGGGUUUUUCAAAACAAUUUUUCAAAAUUUUAUGAGAUUUUCGGAUUUUUAUGUCAAAACACACUAAAACACUCCAAAACAGCUUAAAAACACUUAAAAACAGCAAGGAACAACACUUAGAAGUAAUGGGUGAUAAACUCCCACGAAUUUCAUGCAAAAUAACUUGGUUACCCCCCCACACUUAAAUCAAACAUUGUUUUCAAUGUUUCAAGCAUAAACUCACAUAAAAACAAGCAAACAAACAAACAACGAAUAAACAUGACAAGUAUGGCAAAGUAAAAACAAGACAGAGUAGAGUUUAAGAACGCAAAUCUGGUUAUGGAGAUAGAUGAUCUUGUUGACUUUCCACAGCUUUGAUCUCGAACUGGUUUGGAAUUCUAAGCGAGGAAUAUGAGAGUUCCUUGGUUUCAAAUCAGACUCCUUCUGCUGGGUUGAUUUGAUUGUGUAGUCUGCAUUCUUCUCUGCUUGUUUCUUCUGCACGGCGCGCAGGCACGAGGUAGAAGUGUUGGUCUGUUUCUUUGUUCAAUCUGUCCAAGUGCCGACCAUUUGCUUUCUUUCUCCUUGUCCCUAGCUGAGGAUGAAUUAGCACAUUGUCUCCAUAUGCUUCGAGGUAUCAUUUUCACUUCCUUUAUCUGUUCUGCAGGCAGAUGUGGUAGCUUUUCAGGAAGCAUAAGAUGUU
Molecule: long non-coding RNA, 833 nt
Filed under: Malus domestica (apple)
Lineage: Eukaryota; Viridiplantae; Streptophyta; Magnoliopsida; Rosales; Rosaceae
Description: long non-coding RNA (MDOM_LNC004778)
Source: RNAcentral